Long non-coding RNA from Lagopus leucura (white-tailed ptarmigan), 1198 nucleotides. RefSeq lists it as uncharacterized. The record is from RefSeq and is a predicted model, not a curated record. The transcript is spliced from 3 exons. Lineage: Eukaryota; Metazoa; Chordata; Aves; Galliformes; Phasianidae.
AGGAAGCGGGUGCGCUGCGGUAGCUUUGAUGCAGCGCUUAUCUGCGACGUGGAGUGCCCUGAGCCCGUUCCAGGGAGGCGGCAGCGAAAGAUGUGCGUGGAAAAGUGCGGGCAUCGAGCGCCUCUAGGCUGCCCUGGAGCCUGGCUUUCCCAAAGAGGCUGUAGUGAAAGCCAGAUAAUGAGGCUGGACAAUGAAAGCUGCACAAAUUUGGGCCACUGCAGAAGCACAACAUGACAUGGGGAUUUUCUGCCCCUGGGAGCCUUCGUAUGACCAGGGACACAGGAAAAAGGUGAACAAACAAAAUGUCUUUCAAUGCCAUCCUAUGAUUUGCCAAAAAAUUCCCUGCAGUAAGAGAUGGAUCAAAAUCCCCAUCACUUCUGAAGGUAAUGUCCAUAACCAGUUGGCUCCAUCCAACACCAACGGUGAUGAAUCCAGGUUUGUCUGAGGGCCAGAGCCACCCAUAGCACCCAGGCUAUUGUCCUCUGUGCAAGGGUUGGCCCUAAGGAGCUUUUCCUAAAUACAGAAGAUAUUUGGGGCCGGGGCACUGUUCAUCACCCAUUGCAAAGAAACACCAUUGCAAACAAAUAAAAUUAACAAAUGGUGAAAGAUAAAUUGAAUUUUCCACCUGGAAUGGGAGCGUCAGGGGGUGACACAGUGAAUGAGUGGCAUCACUCCUUCCCAGCACUGUCCAUAGAGCUGUAUAUUCAGUGUAAACAUGUAGGGAGUGCUUAUAAACCCUCACCUUGGGUGCGUGCAAGGGCUGCUUGAAGGGGGAGGAAGAGGGAAACUUGUCCUGGGCAGGGAGCAGAAUAGGAUGUGGGAGGGAGAGAUAAAGGGUGCGAGAGCUAUCAGCUCCAUCCGGGACAGAGUGGGGAUGGGGUUGGAGCAUCUGUUCAGCAGCGAUGGGGUUGGCAGCAGAUAACACCCAACGCCUCAGCUGUGGGGCUCUGCACACCCUGAAGGGGACUGCCAAAGUCAUAAGGAUGGAGGGGAAUGGUGUUGUCCUCCUGCUCAUGGCAUGGCUGUGGCAUGCUGCAGCUGUAUUCACCUUCAGCAUAGCCUGUAAAUGAUGUAUAUGUGUACAUAUGCCACCUUCAGCAUAGCCUGUAAAUGAUAUACAUGUGUAUUUAUACCAUCUUCAAUAUUGCCUAUUAAUGAUAUAUAUUUAUGUAUAUAUAAAUAUACACUUAUUUAUAUA